AUUGAACGCUGGCGGAAUGCUCUACACAUGCAAGUCGAACGGCAGCACGGGCUUCGGUCUGGUGGCGAGUGGCGAACGGGUGAGUAAUGUAUCGGAACGUGCCCAGUCGUGGGGGAUAACGUAGUGAAAAUUACGCUAAUACCGCAUACGAUCUAUGGAUGAAAGCGGGGGAUCGCAAGACCUCGCGCGAUUGGAGCGGCAGAUAUCAGAUUAGGUAGUUGGUGGGGUAAAGGCCCACCAAGCCAACGAUCUGUAGCUGGUCUGAGAGGACGACCAGCCACACUGGAACUGAGACACGGUCCAGACUCCUACGGGAGGCAGCAGUGGGGAAUUUUGGACAAUGGGCGAAGGCCUGAUCCAGCCAUUCCGCGUGCAGGAUGAAGGCCCUCGGGUUGUAAACUGCUUUUGUACAGAACGAAAAGGUUUCUACUAAUACUAGGAGCUCAUGACGGUACUGUAAGAAUAAGCACCGGCUAACUACGUGCCAGCCGCCGCCGUAA
Molecule: ribosomal RNA, 500 nt
Filed under: uncultured bacterium
Lineage: Bacteria
Description: partial 16S ribosomal RNA
Rfam family: Bacterial small subunit ribosomal RNA
Source: RNAcentral